Carassius carassius (crucian carp) is the source of this 579-nucleotide long non-coding RNA. RefSeq lists it as uncharacterized. The transcript has 3 exons. Lineage: Eukaryota; Metazoa; Chordata; Actinopteri; Cypriniformes; Cyprinidae. The record is from RefSeq and is a predicted model, not a curated record.
UAUAUGUAUGUAUGAGUCAUAAAUACCUGAGGUUGCUGGUUUCAUACUCCAGCUCUGUGUAUCAGUCUGCUGUUAUUUUGGUGUGUGUGGCCUGUCUCUGUGUGUGUCAGUGAGCUGGUCUCCUGUGCCUGCUGUGCUGAUAAUCAGUGGAUGGCUGUAGCUGGCUCAGUUCAGCAGGAACAGGGGUCUGCUCUUCUCUCUGUGGCCUUCUGCUCCGAGCGAGGACUGUUCACACUACUGCUGCUCCACACUGUGAGUCACAGAUUGGGCUUAGAUAAGCAGACAUCUGUUUGUGAAACUAGCGUUUGUUAUUUGCAUUGCAGAGACGUCGAGUUUCUUUGCAGGCUAAACUUAGAAAGAUGUGUCCAAGUGACCAAGGAAACCUAAAGACAUACACACAAUACAAACAAAUACAGUUCAAUGUUUGAUCGCCAAACCACAAGAGGAACCACGGUCUGAAAUCACUUCUCAAGAAUAAUCCUCACAGAGUCACGGUCAGAGCGGCCUGCGUGCGACGCUCUACUGCCAGCAUCGACAUGUUCCUCUAAAUAUUUACUUACGAUGGAUUUGUAAUAAAUA